Long non-coding RNA from Gadus morhua (Atlantic cod), 6665 nucleotides. Lineage: Eukaryota; Metazoa; Chordata; Actinopteri; Gadiformes; Gadidae. The record is from Ensembl.
CAACUGUUUUAAAUCUUUAUGCAUUUUAUCUAAUUUAGUCAGCUAUAGUUUUAAGUUAUAGGUUUAAACAUAAGUUGUUGCUUUUCACCAUUUAAUGGGUUAAACUAAUUUAUCUUUUAUCCCACGUUAAUUCUGGAUAAAUUGAGUCCAUUUAUUGUUUAACAUCAUUAAUCAUUACUCUGCCUUUUGCUUUUUGACUUCCCCACAAUGUAACUUCUCCUUUGUUAUUGCAGAACACAAAAGUAUUAUCACAUAUUAUCGAGUGCAUUCAGGGUAGAGUAGGUUAUUUUCAUGACAAUAAUAGGGAAAUAAUGUAAAUCAAAUCCAAAAUGUAAUGAAAUAUUAAAUGUUUGAACCUUCAACAUGAGUAUAACGUCCCUCUCUGCAAUGACACCCAUUGUAUUCAAAAUGUUCAUCCCUCUUACAGUAAUAAGACAGUUAUUACAGUAAUAGUGAGUGGUGGGCUGUGAAUCUCAUUGAGAUAUAUCUCCUGUAUGGUUUUAUUCUCCUCUGUAAACCUCCAGGUGUGGAGACCUUCUGCAACGCCACACAGCCACACAUCACGACCCAGUGCUUUGGCUCUCUGGGAGGAACCGUAGAGGUCCAGAUGCUUACUCAGUACUCACAAGAUGAUACCUUCAGACUGAAGAAGAACAAUGUCACGAUUUUAUCAGAACGCAAUCAGACAAACAUUCGAUAUUCAUUUAAUGUCAGUACUGGAAUAUUUACUAUAAAGGACAUCGACAGGAAAGACAAUGGUGAAUACUCAAUGGAAGUAUAUGACCGAGAAGCUGGAAGGCUAGUGGCAUCUACAAAAUGUUAUUUAACCAUUCAAGCCCCGGCCUCCUCUCCCCUCAUGUCCCGGGAGUGUCUGUCCUGGGGACAGCAGAGGGUGUCCUGCUCUGCCGGGGGGGACGGACUCCACUACAGCUGGAGUCUAGACGGACUCCCGCUGAACGACCCGCGUCUCCUCUCCGGACCCAGUAGCGCUAGUGACGUCACUCUGGAGCCGGGCCGGUCGGGACUGGUCACCUGCUCGGUCCACAACAUCAUGAGCAACGCCACGGCCAACAUCACCUUGUCUGUGUGUGACGGUGUGAAGACCGUCUGCGACGCCACACAGCCACGCGUCACGACCCAGUGCUUUGGCUCUCUGGGAGAAACCGUGGAGGUCCUGAUGCCUACUCAGUCCUCACAAAAUGAUACCUUCAGACUGAAGAAAGACAGAGUCACGAUUUUAUCAGGACGCAGUCAGACAAACAUUCGAUAUUCAUUUAAUGUCAGUACUGGAAUAUUUACUAUAAAGGACAUCGACAGGACAGACAAUGGUACAUACUCAAUGGAAGUACAUAAUGUAACUGGAAUGGGAGUAGCAUUUACAAAAUGUUAUUUAAACAUUCAAGCCCCGGUCUCCUCUCCCCUCCUGUCCCGGGAGUGUCUGUCCUGGGGACAGCAGAGGGUGUCCUGCUCUGCCGGGGGGGACGGACUCCACUACAGCUGGAGUCUAGACGGACUCCCGCUGAACGACCAGCGUCUCCCCUCCGGACCCAGUAGCGCUAGUGACGUCACUCUGGAGCCGGGACGGUCGGGACUGCUCACCUGCUCGGUCCGCAACAUCGUGAGCAACGCCACGGCCAACAUCACCUUGUCUGUGUGUGACGGUGUGGAGACCGUCUGCGACGCCACACAGCCACACAUCACGACCCAGUGCUUUGGCUCUCUGGGAGGAACCGUAGAGGUCCAGAUGCUUACUCAGUCCUCACAAAAUGAUGCCUUCAGACUGAGGAAGAACAAUGUCGCGAUUUUAUCAGGACGCAAUCAGACAAACAUUCGAUAUUCAUUUAAUGUCAGUACUGGAAUGUUUACUAUAAAGGACAUCGACAGGACAGACAAUGGUGCAUACUCAAUGGAAGUACAUAAUGCAUCUGGAAACCAAGUAGCAUUAAACUAUUGUUAUUUAACCAUUCAAGCCCCGGUCUCCUCUCCCCUCCUGUCCCGGGAGUGUCUGUCCCGGGGACAGCAGAGGGUGUCCUGCUCUGCCGGGGGGGACGGACUCCACUACAGCUGGAGUCUAGACGGACUCCCGCUGAACGACCCGCGUCUCCUCUCCGGACACAGUAGCGCUAGUGACGUCACUCUGGAGCCGGGCCGGUCGGGAUUGCUCACCUGCUCGGUCCGCAACAUCGUGAGCAACGCCACGGCCAACAUCACCUUGUCUGUGUGUGGCGGGCUCGUCCCGUUCAUCGUUCGUCCUCUGACGGUGGUGCUGCUGCUCCUAGCAGCAUUGGGAGUCUACUGGGCCCUAAAGAAGAAGAAAACCUCCAGCCCUCGAGGUACCAACAAGUGUCUCUUUGGGUCAACUGUUCAACGCAAACUUUACUUCCCGUGCUGUUUUCUCAUUUUCUAGUGUUCUGUUUGUUCAGACAUCGCGCUGUCCUCCAUGGCAGUAGAUGAUGAUGUGCCGUACGUUAACGUCUCCGGGGCGACCGGGAGGUCAGGGGGAGAGUGAGGGGGAGUACGGGGCGGUCAGGGUGGCUCCAGGCCCCAGGCGGACGCGGGAGACCAAUGUGGGCGAGCUAGUGCGCGCUCAGCCCCGGAGGACGAGGCCCUGAGAGCUGUCACCACCCAGAAGGACGCGUAGACAGCGCUUUAGCCAGAGAGCCAUCAGCCCACUGACAUUAGACCUGCCAGGGACACUUCUCUCCCUGCAUCUCAAAGGCCACUUCGUUUGAAAAUGUGAAUAUUUAUUCGGCCGUGGUUAUGUUCAUAUUUAUGUUCAUAAAGCCGUUCACAUGUAGUUUAAACAGUGUAGUAGUCAAAUCUCAACUCUUAUUUUUAUUAUUAAUAGUGUCUAUUUUUUCCUCUGUUGUUGUCCACGGUGGCUUCCUGGGUCAAGGAUAGAAACUGAUCCAAUCAAAUAAUUGUGAUAGCUCGAUCUCUGAAAGCAAUAUUCUGCAUGUGUAACUCUUAACAUAUAACUACUAUUUUCUUUAUAGUAUACUAUACUGAAUGUGUAACUUAAUUUCAUUAUUUUUUGCACUAUUAUGUAUGUGUAACUGGCUUGGAUGCGUUUCCGUAUGAAAUAUACUAUUUUUUUUAAAGAGUAGGCCUACUUCAUCUUUUGUGUUCUAUAAACAUUCUUAAGGUUCCAGACAUGUAAAUUGAACCACUUACACACGGCACACACACACACACGCACGCGCACGAACGCACAUGCGCACACACACACACACACACACACACACACACACACACACACACAAUUUGAUGGCACUUUUAUUCAUUUUACCCUUGUUUUACUGUUACAAAAUCCAGUUGACAUCUUACCAUACCGAAGAGAUAAUUUACAACAAAAAAAUUAGGGAUGUCCGAUAUUGGCUUUUUUGCCGAUAUCCGAUAUGCGAUAUUGUCCAACUCUAAAUUUUCGAUUCCGAUAUCAGCCGAUACCGAUAUUUGGGUUAUUUAUUUUUCCUCAAACCUAAUUUAGGUAACAUUACAUAUCUCCUGUUGUGGAAUUAACACAACAUGCUUAAUGUUAUUGUGAUGCCCCACUGGAUGCAUUCUUGAAUGCAACAAGGCUUUCCAAAUGUUAACAUUGUCUGUGCAAAAUAAGAAAAAUACUUCAACUUAAUUUAAGGGAAAAGUAAAAAAAUUUUUAAUGGUCUCAGACAACAGUUUGGAUUACACUCUCCCUGAGAUAAUCUUGACAACGCCCACAACAAAUAGGGCAAACUUGACUUCACAAAUGAUAAAACAUUGUACCUGAACAACUAUGUGCAACAUAGCAGUAUGUUUCUUUGACUAAAACUCAAUAACCUUAAUUGAAUAAAUGCACAAAUAUUAGUCAAUUACAAUGUGCACUGUACUGCACAAUUUUGAAAACAUUUAUUUGAGCUAUAAAAAAAAUAAAAUAAAAAAAAUCGGUUUUAGGGCAAAAAAAAUCCGAUACCGAUAUUGACCGAUAUUACAUUUUUAUGCUAAUAUCGGGCCGAUAAUAUCGGUGGGCCGAUAAUAUCGGACAUCUCUAAAAAAAAUAGAUUUUAGGUUUGAAUGAUAAGGGACCAAAGAGGCGACUGUUGGUGGAACAAAAGAAGAAUGGACCAGAAAAGAGAUCAGACACGAGUGAAAGGGGAACUAUGAAACUUUUUUGGCUUGAUUUACCUUAAUAUAACAGGCUAAGAGUCAUUGCGAUGGUUCUAUUAUACAUUUUUGUUCGAUUGUUGGUUGUUUCGACUCCCCCUUGCGCAUCUUGGCGGAGAAAAGGAAUAUGUUUCUGCCAGCGACCCGCCGCCCACUCUCGCGGGAGUCUCGGGUCUCGAGAAGUAACGAAUUGCUUUACGGCACAGACCCCCAAAAACGGAACCGGUGUAAGUACCAUAUUGGCUCGGCUUUCAGAUCGGCUCGGGGUCCGUCGUCUGCUGAUUACGUCACACAAUAGCUAUCUACAGCAAUAAGGUUUUUUAUGGCUUAAAUUAAAGAGCCUGUAAUGAUCUUUCAUUUUGAACAUAGACCAUUCCCAACCUAUCUGUAUGGAUAGUUUUCUUCUAAAAACAAAACAUCCCUCGGAAUCAUCUUGGCUGUUAAAAUAAGCCGUCCGUGUUGCCAAAUUGGGCACAUUUUCAGCCUGAUUUGGCUACUUUGAAUCACGUUAGGCUGGAAAACCGGGACAUAUGCCCAAUCUGGCAACACAAACCGAAACUAGACAUAGACCUACUCGCGCUCACAAAUGUGCUCGCUGUUGCCUCGUGGUUGCUAUGACUACAGCCAGAGCUACAGCACAAAACAGCCAAUCACAACUGUCCGACGUACAGCCAAUCACAAUGUACGCCCAUUCAAGCGUACAGCCAAUGAUAUUGUGUAACGUAAUCAGCAGACGACGGACCCCGAGCCGAUCUGGAAGCCGAGCCGAUAUGGUACUUACACCGGCUCAAUCUAAACACAAGUAACUAAGGCAAGGCACUUUUAUUUAUAUAGCACAUUUCAUGCCAAUGGCAACCCAAAGUGCUUUACACAAAUACAAUGAAGUGUUUUCCAUAAUAAAAGGAAGACAAGACAAAAUAUAAAAAUUAAAAUGCAUAAAAUCAGAUAAAAAACAUAAAUAAAGUGAAUAAAGGGUUAUGCAUAAGGGAGAGCAUAUAAAACAGAAAAUUAGUCUAAGAAAAGGCAACAGAAAAUAGAUGGGUCUUGAUACUGGUUUUAAAACUGUCAAUAGAGGGUGAAGUUCUGAUUGAAAUUGGCAGCUGGUUCCACAGCUGAGUAGCAUAAAAACUAAAGGCAGCUUCACCGCUUUUGGUUCUCACAGUUGGUUUUGUUAAAAACAGUUGGUCUUGAGAUCUAAGAGGUCUAGUGGGGGUGUGGUAUUGGAGGAGGUCUACGAGAUAAGUGGGCCCCAUUCCAGUUAGUGAUUUAAAAACAAGCAACAAUACUUUAAAAUCUAUUCUUUGACUGACAGGGAGCCAGUGUAAAGUUUUUAGUAGGGGUGUAAUGUGGUCUGACCUCUUAGCUUUCAUAAGGACCCUAGCAGCUGCAUUCUGGAUCAACUAAGGGAUUGUUACAUUCAUCAUAGAUCAGCCGACUAAAAAGAGACAGCGAAACCCAAUGUCUGAGGAACAGAAGAAGAGAAAAGGGAGACUGACCGACAGAGAGGCCAGACACGAGUAAACGUUGGGCAAGCUUUUCAGGAAUAGCGUGAACUGAAAGAAAAAGAAGACUGCAAAUCAGACGCUGACUUGGCCGUGUUGCUUUUGAAAUUGAAAGUACCCUUGGGUGAACUUUGUCUUCGUGGUAUUCUUGAUAUUGAUAGACAAACUAUCCAUUUGUCUCUGUACAAAUGUGUUUGCUCAACCAUUUUGUUGUGAGCCCUGUAAAAAUUGUUUUCUCGACCGUUUUGUUGUGAGCCCUGUAUGUUUCUAGCUUGCUUGGUUGCAACCAUAUAAACACCUUUGUUUCCAUGGGUGUUUUGCUGUUCGUCUGUCUCGUCCCCCAGAUACAGACUGAAUCCCCAAAUCCAGGUUCUUGUUUAUUUCGAUUAUUAUGUUGGCCAACACUCUUACACAGAUUGUUCUGUUCAACCUAAGAUAAAACAAUUAUAAUCUAGGAUAUAAAUUCUCACCGUCAACUAUAAAAAAGGAUGGAUAUAUGUUUAUUGCAAUACAAAUACACCAUUUUAAAAUGUAUAACCUUGCCUACACUUUGUGAACAUCUACUUCGGACAUGGCUCCACGCAUUCGCCGGCUUCUUUGAAAACAAAUGCACAUGGCUCGCGUAGAAGUGCAUGGGGAAGGGUCGUCAACGAGUUGUUACGACAGUGUUGUCAAAUAUCUACUACGAAGCUGUAGGGGGCGCUGUCUAGAGAAAUGUGCGUGCCAAAACCAAGAAAACAGCGAAGAAAUGCCCGAAGUUGCAGAGUGGGCCUAGUCAACACGUCGACAUUAAACUCGAAAUGUCGAGAAUAAAGUUGAAAUGUCAUGUCGACCCUAAUCUCGACAUGUCGAGAGUAAAACUCGAAAUGUCGAGAAUAAAGUUGAAAUAUUAUGUUGACUUUGAUCUUAAUUUGUCGACUUUGAAGUCGACAUUAAACUCGAAAUGUCGAGGAUACAGUUGAAAUUAGUUGGGAGAGAUAGCAACCGCUCCACAGGGCCUGCACUGAAUCCAAUGGCUUGUAA